This 623-nucleotide long non-coding RNA is filed under the name Phoenix dactylifera (date palm). RNAcentral describes it as "long non-coding RNA (PDAC_LNC000397)". The record is from RNAcentral. Lineage: Eukaryota; Viridiplantae; Streptophyta; Magnoliopsida; Arecales; Arecaceae.
AAACACGGAAACCUGUGCUUCCAGCGCUCCCCCCUCUCUAUCUCCAAGAGAAAAAGGGAAGAACAUAAAUUUUUGUCUCUGAUCCCUCCCUUCCUCUUUUAGGCCAAACAAACUAUCCACCGCCUUCCGAACUCCUUCUGAGACCAGAAGUUUGGAAUCCAUCAGUGCCAGAACCUCUCAUCAUGUUCUCUAGCAGCAGCAGUCACCAGUACAUCCACAAGUGAACUCCCCACUUGAUAAAAGAGAGCCAAAAAAAGAGUAAGAUUCCACACUCCUCUCCUCAAAUCCUCCCCUCAAGCCCUAAAUAGGAUCCACUCUCCAUCUCUCCCCACCAACCCCCCAUCGGAUCAUUCUAGCCCCUCUAGAUCUGUUCAGCAGAUCGAUCACAGCCACCUAGCACAUCCAACCUCCCAUCCAUAUCACCAUCGCCCUAAAAAAGCAAGAGAGCUUCAACCAGCAGCCAUGCCCACCAUCAAAUGAAUUAUAUCGCUACAUACAUAUUCAUGUUGCUCUCUCUCUCUCUCUCUCUCUCUCUCUCUCUCUCUGUAUGUAUGUAUGUGUCUAGAAAAUAAGAAACAAACUCCCUCAGCAUGCACCAAAUCCCAGAUCAAUCAUCAUCAUUU